GUCGAGCGAAGCGGUUCAAUGAAGUUUUCGGAUGGAUUUGAAAUCGACUUAGCGGCGGACGGGUGAGUAACGCGUGGGUAACCUGCCUUACACUGGGGGAUAACAGUUAGAAAUGACUGCUAAUACCGCAUAAGCGCACAGGGCCGCAUGGUCUGGUGUGAAAAACUCCGGUGGUGUAAGAUGGACCCGCGUCUGAUUAGGUAGUUGGUGGGGUAACGGCCCACCAAGCCGACGAUCAGUAGCCGACCUGAGAGGGUGACCGGCCACAUUGGGACUGAGACACGGCCCAAACUCCUACGGGAGGCAGCAGUGGGGAAUAUUGGACAAUGGGCGAAAGCCUGAUCCAGCGACGCCGCGUGAGUGAAGAAGUAUUUCGGUAUGUAAAGCUCUAUCAGCAGGGAAGAAAAUGACGGUACCUGACUAAGAAGCCCCGGCUAACUACGUGCCAGCAGCCGCGGUAAUACGUAGGGGGCAAGCGUUAUCCGGAUUUACUGGGUGUAAAGGGAGCGUAGACGGUUAAGCAAGUCUGAAGUGAAAGCCCGGGGCUCAACCCCGGUACUGCUUUGGAAACUGUUUGACUUGAGUGCAGGAGAGGUAAGUGGAAUUCCUAGUGUAGCGGUGAAAUGCGUAGAUAUUAGGAGGACACCAGUGGCGAAGGCGGCUUACUGGACU
This 672-nucleotide ribosomal RNA is filed under the name uncultured Lachnospiraceae bacterium. RNAcentral describes it as "bacterial SSU rRNA". It matches the Rfam family "Bacterial small subunit ribosomal RNA", at positions 61 to 735 of the family's 1533-position model. The record is from RNAcentral. Lineage: Bacteria; Bacillati; Bacillota; Clostridia; Lachnospirales; Lachnospiraceae.